GAUGCUUGGUUCCCACACCAGAUAAUGCUCUCAUAACCUGCUUUCCCACACCAUGGUUGGGGAAGAAUAUCCUCCUAAGUUUUUGCUCCUACUUGGAUUCAAGAAAAAAAGAUCAAAACUCAAAGUGGAUUCCUUGGCACGCCUGCCCUGCAAGCUGUUUCACAAAGGGUUCCUUGGUCAGGAGUCAGGGAAAGGCUCUGCACCCAGACCUUCCUGCUUGUGCUGUCUCCUCUUACCUUGUGUCCAGAGUGUGGGGAUGAAGUCUGGGCUACCAGCAGCCGUACCAUAGCAUCCCAUUGCUCAGCAGUUUGGCGCUCCCGUGCAGUCACAGUAAAGGCCACCUGCUCUGAGGGGAUCUUCAGCUCCCGGGUGGCGAAGACUGUCCCAUCAGCCCCGACUUUGAAGUCCAAACUGUUGGUCUCAUACUGCGUCCCUUUGGUGCCCAAGCAGCUGCUGAACUUGACUGUAAGAGGAGAGAAGACGGUCAGGGUGGCCAGCAGGAGAAGUAGCUGGAGGCCAAGACAAAGGAUGGAUGAGCCUCAACUCUCCAAACCCAGGUGGACACCCUCCACACAGGACAGUUUCUGCACCCAUGCAGAGGUUGUCGUGGAGUGGGAACCUCUACCCACUGGAAGACUCCCACAUUCCCACCUCUUGCCUCACACCAACGUCUGCCUGUCAGUAUAGACGCCCAGUCCUUUGGAUCUGUUUUUUGUGUCCAAGAAAGCUGAGUGCAGUGAAGGAACCAGAGAGAGCUGGCAUGUCAAGACUCUCCCCUCCACAUUAGAACGUUCUGGAAAUGGGAUUAGCAUGGCUGGCCCUUUCAUGGCUUGUGAGAUCUGACACUUGUCAGACACCUGGGUCCUGCUGGGGCAGAGGCAGGAUGACAGGCAGGCCUGGCUCAGCCACAAACUUUCUUGGUUAGUGACAGAGUUAACAAAGCCUAUGACACUGCUGGGUAUCCUGCAUCAUUUUGCUUCCAAAACAUUAAUUAGGCAACUAAAUUUUCGCCCCCCCACCAUGUACCAGCGCUUCAGCCACUUCCAACUCCACCACAGAAAGAGACAUCGCCAAGACUGCAUAUUCAUCUGGCCCACGGUAGUGCAUUUUUUAGACACACGCUUUUGUGACUGUCACCCAACUCGGUGGUAAAUUAUGAAGCACCAACAGCUGGUGUCACAUUCUGCUGAUAAAAGCAAUGGAUAAAGUUACCCAGUAUUUAUAAAAAUGUGGGUAUCUAAGCAAUUAUGGUGGGAGGAUUGGUUUUAUAAGCAAUUUCACUGUCACAGCUUACAUGAUUUAAUUACUAUUUAUUCUAGAAACUAAAAAAAGCGACUUGCACUUACAUUUGAUAAAGUGUUUUUCCUGCAUGUUCACCUUUUAUUGUUGCCUGCCUUGAAAUAAUAAAUAACA
Molecule: long non-coding RNA, 1413 nt
Organism: Onychomys torridus (southern grasshopper mouse)
Lineage: Eukaryota; Metazoa; Chordata; Mammalia; Rodentia; Cricetidae
Exons: 3
Source: RefSeq, a predicted model, not a curated record